This 1402-nucleotide long non-coding RNA is filed under the name Gouania willdenowi (blunt-snouted clingfish). RNAcentral describes it as "lncRNA (ENSGWIG00000004990.1)". Lineage: Eukaryota; Metazoa; Chordata; Actinopteri; Blenniiformes; Gobiesocidae. The record is from RNAcentral.
GGCUUGUACUCGUUGGCCUCUUUUUACUUGGCAGAGAGAUGCAAUUUGUCUUUGGUGGAAACGUGCUCCCAAAAGCCAUGCCAUCACCCAAGUAGGUGUUCCUAUUUUGGGAUCUCGAAGAAGUAGUGUGUGUGUGUGUUUGUGUGUGUGUGUGUGUGUAGGCUGACUGAUCAGCUGGCAGACUGACUGGAUCCAUGGUGGAACUACAGACACUGCAGGAGGCUCUGAAGGUGGAGAUCCAGAUCCAUCAGACAUCAGCAACCCCCGCGCUGUUAGAAGCAAAGCCGCUUCAACGCCAACCGGAGCCGAUAACAGAGACUUUCCUGCAGCUUUCUGCAACCCGAGCACCACCAGACGUUUUCACACAGAGGCCCCAACGCCUGGUAACUUUGAGGAUGGAAACUCCACCACAGCCAGCUGUGAUCCACUCGCCGAACGUUCCCGGUGUCUUGACACUGGAGCUGGCACUUCCUGAUCUGUGGUUCACGGCUCGACUAAUCUUGGAUGCUCUGAUGUUCUAUCCCUCCAUCCUGUUCUGUUCUCCUUUUUCUGUCCACUAACCCCAACCAGUCGAAGCAGAUGGCUGCUACCUCUGAGGCAAGAUCGGCUGGAGAUGUAUUCCUGUUAAAGGGGAGUUGUUCCUCCCCACCAUCGCUGAUGCUUGUUCAUGUGGAAUUGUUGGGUUAUUUUUUAACAAUGUUAUGUUUUGUGAUUAAUUUAAAUGAACUAGCACAGUGAUGCUAGCUCCUCAGGCCAAUCAUAACACACGUCAGCUUUCCAUUUCAGAGGCAGAACCAUUUUUUGAUUUCCUUAUUGUUGUGUCUGUACUUCAGAUUAAUCAAAGAGUUCCGAACUGAAAAGUUGGUUUUCUCUACUGACACUUGAUGCAUGUUCCUCAUUAAGCUCAUAAACCUCUGCGGCUCCCAAACCACUGUGCCACUUAAACUGGGUGGAUUUUUCCACAUCACAGCAACUGAGCCUAUUAAUCGCACAUAGACUCUGGCCUGCUGGCACAGAUUUUAUGAGCCAAUUAAUGUUAAAGAGACAAGUCACACAGAUUAGGAGCAAUUCAAAUUAAAAAUUGUUCCUUAAUAGUGUUGGACAUCACUGUACCGUGCAGGGUCUCUUUUCUCAUUAGAAUUCAUUUUGACCAGGCCCCCAUGGAUGAAUACAGAGUUUUGUUCUCCAAACUACCUUCAAAUAUAGGUAAAUUGAUAUAGCCUACUGUAUAAUGGGAGCUAUUCUCAAACUCAAAUUGGCUGAUUGUCAACUAAAACAAAACAGAGAACCAUCUGAGAUACACACGCAAACUGAUAUUCAUCCUAUGCACUUUAUAAUAUCAAAACAUGAGAUUAAGAUAUAUUUUUUAUUAAUAAAUAAAAUUUAAUGCCUUUUUUAUGCA